This 279-nucleotide ribosomal RNA is filed under the name uncultured bacterium. Its description in RNAcentral is "partial 16S ribosomal RNA". It matches the Rfam family "Bacterial small subunit ribosomal RNA", at positions 506 to 784 of the family's 1533-position model. The record is from RNAcentral.
UGCCAGCAGCCGCGGUAAUACGAAGGGUGCAAGCGUUAUUCGGAAUUAUUGGGCGUAAAGGGCGCGCAGGCGGUCUUGUCCGUCAGGUGUGAAAGCUCGGGGCUCAACCCCGGAAGUGCAUUGGAAACUGGCGAACUUGAGUACGGGAGAGGAGAGCGGAAUUCCUGGUGUAGAGGUGAAAUUCGUAGAUAUCAGGAGGAACACCGGCGGCGAAGGCGGCUCUCUGGACAGUAACUGACGCUGAGGCGCGAAAGCGUGGGUAGCAAACAGGAUUAGAUA